Molecule: ribosomal RNA, 254 nt
Filed under: Malus domestica (apple)
Lineage: Eukaryota; Viridiplantae; Streptophyta; Magnoliopsida; Rosales; Rosaceae
Description: rRNA MD05G0299100
Rfam family: Bacterial small subunit ribosomal RNA
Source: Rfam by way of RNAcentral
AUUGGGAUUCAGAAGUGUCUAAAUGAUCUAUUACUUUUCAUAUUAUAUGAUAUGCUUUUGAUUACAUUACUACUCUAUCAAAAAGAAUACCAAUGGCGAAGGCAUUAUGUUGAGCCGACUCAAACACUGAGAGACAAAACUAGGGGAGAAAAUGAGAUUAGAAACCCCGGCAGGCCUAGCUGUAAACGAUGGAUACUAGGCACUAUGCGUAUAGACCCGUGCAGUGUUGUAGCUAACGCAUUAAGUAUCCCUCC